This is a non-coding RNA of Camellia sinensis, 283 nucleotides long. NCBI's taxonomy places the organism in Eukaryota, Viridiplantae, Streptophyta, Magnoliopsida, Ericales, Theaceae. The record is from RefSeq and is a predicted model, not a curated record.
GAAAUGACCUGGCAAGGGUGUUUUAGUUAAAAAGUUGCACUUUUGAGAAUUGGCUGGACAGGAGGACAAAUUAUACUAGAAGCUUGGCUGUCAUGAGCAUGGGAUUCUUUGUUAUUCUUUCAUGGAUGCCUAUAUAUUUUAAAACAGUAAGGCCAUAGCUAGCCUAAAAGUUGUAGUUUAUCAGCAAUUUAUCACAUACUCAACAAGUGUACUGAUUUUAUGAGAAAGAUGAAAUACAUGUCUCUUUGUUAUAGAUAUAUCAUGUCCACCUUAGACAAGCAGC